GUGCUAGCUUCGGCAGAAAAUAUUCUAAAAUUGGAUUAAUCUAGAGAAGAUUAGCAUGACAUUAGUGUAAGGAUGACAUACAAAAUCAUGAAACAUUCUUAAUUGAA
Molecule: small nuclear RNA, 107 nt
Filed under: Hofstenia miamia
Lineage: Eukaryota; Metazoa; Xenacoelomorpha; Acoela; Hofsteniidae
Source: RNAcentral